GUGGUUAAACAUGCAUCUCUUAGACAUUUGUGGUGCGCCUGAGGGCCGCGAAAUAUUGAAAAUAUAAAGCAUGACACGGGAACGAUAUGAAUCUGCCGCAUUUUCUUACGGCUAUUGACUGAGGGAGUACAUCUGGCAACAGUUCUUUUUCCUUUCUUUUUUUCUCUUAGGGCCACCAGGGCUUCCCUUUCCCAGUUCAUCGUCUUGCAAAGGCUAAAAAUUUAUUUGGCCCGUGCAAGGCCUGGAAAGAAGUAGAGGCGGAAUUAGGCAGGCCGUGACGCGGUUGUGGGCUAACCGAUUAUUUUUACGUACAUGGGCCUGUCUUGCACUGCGAGUACGGCCUGCAAUUCCCACGCCAUCACUCAUCACGGGCUCAAGUCCUAAUGGGCUCCAUCCGACUCCCUUUCUUUAUCGUCUCCCAUAGACCCUUUCCACCUCGACCUAAAAAAGCUGAACUGAACCAUGAUCAGAUGGAGUUGAAACUUCCGCUCAAAAAAAAAAAGAUGGAGUUGAAACCUGAUAAAAAGUGACGCGUUCUCUGUUAGCUACUGUAUAUUUGUAAUGCUCAGAUUUGAGAUAUGUCCGUGU
This 588-nucleotide long non-coding RNA is filed under the name Brachypodium distachyon (stiff brome). RNAcentral's name for it is "long non-coding RNA (BDIS_LNC003731)". Lineage: Eukaryota; Viridiplantae; Streptophyta; Magnoliopsida; Poales; Poaceae. The record is from RNAcentral.